This is a long non-coding RNA of Oncorhynchus keta (chum salmon), 1942 nucleotides long. RefSeq lists it as uncharacterized. NCBI's taxonomy places the organism in Eukaryota, Metazoa, Chordata, Actinopteri, Salmoniformes, Salmonidae. The record is from RefSeq and is a predicted model, not a curated record. The transcript has 4 exons.
CAUUGUUGCAUCUCCCACCCUGCAGUCUUAGAAACAUAAACAACAACUCACUCUAUAGCUGGUGAAUAACUACAUAUAAACCAUCAGGGGCAGCAGGUAGGGCUCUAGUCAAAAGUAGUGCACUCUAUAGCUGGUGAAUAACUACAUAUAAACCAUCAGGGGGGCAGCAGGUAGGACUCUAGUCAAAAGUAGUGCACUCUAUAGCUGGUGAAUAACUACAUAUAAACCAUCAGGGGCAGCAGGUAGGGCUCUAGUCAAAAGUAGUGCACUCUAUAGCUGGUGAAUAACUACAUAUAAACCAUCAGGGGCAGCAGGUAGGACUCUAGUCAAAAGUAGUGCACUCUAUAGCUGGUGAAUAACUACAUAUAAACCAUCAGGGGCAGCAGGUAGGACUCUAGUCAAAAGUAGUGCACUCUAUAGCUGGUGAAUAACUACAUAUAAACCAUCAGGGGGGCAGCAGGUAGGACUCUAGUCAAAAGUAGUGCACUCUAUAGCUGGUGAAUAACUACAUAUAAACCAUCAGGGGGGCAGCAUGUAGGACUCUAGUCAAAAGUAGUGCACUCUAUAGCUGGUGAAUAACUACAUAUAAACCAUCAGGGGCAGCAGGUAGGGCUCUAGUCAAAAGUAGUGCACUCUAUAGCUGGUGAAUAACUACAUAUAAACCAUCAGGGGCAGCAGGUAGGACUCUAGUCAAAAGUAGUGCACUCUAUAGCUGGUGAAUAACUACAUAUAAACCAUCAGGGGCAGCAGGUAGGACUCUAGUCAAAAGUAGUGCACUCUAUAGCUGGUGAAUAACUACAUAUAAACCAUCAGGGGCAGCAGGUAGGACUCUAGUCAAAAGUAGUGCACUCUAUAGCUGGUGAAUAACUACAUAUAAACCAUCAGGGGCAGCAGGUAGGGCUCUAGUCAAAAGUAGUGCACUCUAUAGCUGGUGAAUAACUACAUAUAAACCAUCAGGGGCAGCAUGUAGGGCUCUAGUCAAAAGUAGUGCACUCUAUAGCUGGUGAAUAACUACAUAUAAACCAUCAGGGGGGCAGCAGGUAGGACUCUAGUCAAAAGUAGUGCACUCUAUAGCUGGUGAAUAACUACAUACCAUCAGGGGCAGCAGUUAGGACUCUAGUCAAAAGUAGUGCACUCUAUAGCUGGUGAAUAACUACAUACAAACCAUCAGGGGCAGCAGGUAGGACUCUAGUCAAAAGUAGUGCACUCUAUAGGGAAUAUGGUGUCAUUUGGGAUGCAGAUAUAACAACACAUCAUCAUCACAGCCCUGAGAGGAUGGUGUGUAAAUAACAUCCAUCAUAAUAGUUUGGUAAUAUGGUGUGUCAGUUUUAUCGGCAGGUCGUCUUGCGGUUAAGAACGUUGGGCCAGUAACUGAAACAUUACUGGUUCAAAUCCCAGACCUGGCAAGGUGGAAACCUCUACCAUUUUGAGCAAGGCAGUUACCACCAGCUUGAAUGAUAACUCCUGUCCCCAAUCUGUGAGGAUGAACAACAAGUCACACAUACCUUUUAUAUCAUCAUUAUAUGAUAGUGUCUGUAUUCACAAAGUGUCCCAGAGUAGAAUCUAGUUUUCCCAUUUAGAUCAUAAUUAUAUGGACCAGCAGGACCUGAUCCUAGAUCAGCACUCCAUGUCUGAGACCCUUGAGUACAUGACUUACGGCUAAAAACAAAAUACUAUAUUUCAAGAUCUCAAGAGUACUUACAGACUGAAGGGGAGAGGUCUUGUUCAGUGAGUCAACUGACUGGUAGUGAGUGGGAACUGCUAGUAUAUGUGUGUUCUGUGGUUGAUACAUAUUUAUAGUAGUCAGAACACAAGUAGCUGAUGCAGAACAGUCCUUUCCUUCCUCUUUUAAGACAUUAACAUGCAUGAUAAUCAGAACAGCAUGUCAGAGAAGGGAGGUUACUGUAUUAAAAUGGGUCCUACAUUUCUAUAAUGGACAAAA